AUUGAACGCUGGCGGCAGGCCUAACACAUGCAAGUCGAGCGGAUGAAGGGAGCUUGCUCCUGUAUUCAGCUGCGGACGGGUGAGUAAUGCCUAGGAAUCUGCCUGGUAGUGGGGGAUAACGUCCGUACACGGGCGCUAAUACCGCAUACGUCCUGAGGGAGAAAGGGGGGGAUCUUCGGACCUCACGCUAUUAGAUGAGCCUAGGUCGGAUUAGCUAGUUGGUGGGGUAAAGGCGUACCAAGGCGACGAUCCGUAACUGGUCUGAGAGGAUGAUCAGACACACUGGAACUGAGACACGGUCCAGACUCCUACGGGAGGCAGCAGUGGGGAAUAUUGGACAAUGGGCGAAAGCCUGAUGCAGCCAUGCCGCGUGUGUGAAGAAGGUCUUCGGAUUGUAAAGCACUUUAAGUUGGGAGGAAGGGCAGUAAGUUAAUCCCUUGCUGUUUUGACGUUACCAACAGAAUAAGCACCGGCUAACUUCGUG
This 484-nucleotide ribosomal RNA is filed under the name uncultured bacterium. Its description in RNAcentral is "partial 16S ribosomal RNA". It matches the Rfam family "Bacterial small subunit ribosomal RNA", at positions 30 to 507 of the family's 1533-position model. The record is from RNAcentral.